GGGCCUGUAGCUCAGUGGAUAGAGCAUCUGCCUCCUAAGCAGAGGGUCGCAGGUUCGAUUCCUGCUAGGCCCACC
RNAcentral lists this transfer RNA (75 nucleotides) under bacterium ADurb.Bin270. Its description in RNAcentral is "tRNA-Arg". It matches the Rfam family "tRNA". Rfam says of the family: Transfer RNA (tRNA) molecules are approximately 80 nucleotides in length. Their secondary structure includes four short double-helical elements and three loops (D, anti-codon, and T loops). The record is from RNAcentral.